GACGAACGCUGGCGGCGUGCUUAACACAUGCAAGUCGAACGGAAAGGCCCUGCUUUUGUGGGGUGCUCGAGUGGCGAACGGGUGAGUAACACGUGAGUAACCUGCCCUUGACUUUGGGAUAACUUCAGGAAACUGGGGCUAAUACCGGAUAGGAGCUCCUGCUGCAUGGUGGGGAUUGGAAAGUUUCGGCGGUUGGGGAUGGACUCGCGGCUUAUCAGCUUGUUGGUGGGGUAGUGGCUUACCAAGGCUUUGGCGGGUAGCCGGCCUGAGAGGGUGACCGGCCACAUUGGGACUGAGAUACGGCCCAGACUCCUACGGGAGGCAGCAGUGGGGAAUAUUGCACAAUGGGCGGAAGCCUGAUGCAGCAACGCCGCGUGCGGGAUGACGGCCUUCGGGUUGUAAACCGCUUUCGCCUGUGACGAAGCGUGAGUGACGGUAAUGGGUAAAGAAGCACCGGCUAACUACGUG
RNAcentral lists this ribosomal RNA (468 nucleotides) under uncultured bacterium. RNAcentral's name for it is "partial 16S ribosomal RNA". It matches the Rfam family "Bacterial small subunit ribosomal RNA", at positions 28 to 507 of the family's 1533-position model. The record is from RNAcentral.